This 458-nucleotide ribosomal RNA is filed under the name uncultured bacterium. RNAcentral describes it as "partial 16S ribosomal RNA". It matches the Rfam family "Bacterial small subunit ribosomal RNA", at positions 338 to 795 of the family's 1533-position model. The record is from RNAcentral.
CCUACGGGGUGCAGCAGUGGGGGAUAUUGCACAAUGGGGGAAACCCUGAUGCAGCGACGCCGCGUGUGGGAAGACGGUCUUCUGGAUUGUAAACCACUGUCCCCAGGGACGAAAAUGACGGUACCUGGGGAGGAAGCUCCGGCUAACUACGUGCCAGCAGCCGCGGUAAUACGUAGGGAGCAAGCGUUGUCCGGAAUUACUGGGUGUAAAGGGAGCGUAGGCGGGGAUGCAAGUUGGGUGUCAAAACUAUCGGCUCAACCGAUAGUCGCACUCAACGUGGGAACUGCCUUUGAAACUGGCAAACUGGAGUGUGUGAGAGGAUAGUGGAAUUCCAGGUGUAGGAGUGAAAUCCGUAGAUAUCUGGAGGAACAUCAGUGGCGAAGGCGACUAUCUGGCACAUAACUGACGCUGAGGAGCGAAAGCGUGGGUAGCAAACAGGAUUAGAUACCCGAGUAGUC